CAGUUUGCUACCUGAAUUCAGAAGUCCAUGGGGAGCUCUUCUACUUUUGUUCUCGCUUCUUCUGUCCAGAGGCCUUGUGAGUAUUUAUUUGAUUCCUGUCGCUUGUGGGGAGUGUCAUGUCCUGCAUGCUCUACCACUCAAGGGGUUUGGCUGAUGUAAAAAUAUAUAUAUAUAUAUAUAUAUAUAUAUAUAUAUAUAUAUAUUGGGUCUAAUUGCUUACACUCUUGGACUUGGGGUAAUGCCUUUUAUUUUGUUUUUUUAUGUUUUUUUGUUUUUAUAUCUUGGGUUUUCCUGUGGUUCUUGGCUGCUUCUGACUACGGGUUUGGUACCAGGACUUGGUUUACUCUGACAGGGAUGAUCCAGUUCAGCCCAUGGUGACAUCUCCAUUUGGUCAUGCCUCUCAGGUAUCCUGCUCAUUAUUAUUUCUCUAUUCACGUACAUUUGUAUUACUUCCAUUAAACUGUUGAUCAUGUCUUACAAUAAUUUGAACUUCAGCAUUGUUGUGUAGGACGCUAGUUUUAGCAUAGUACAUAAUUGCUGUUGUCUCAUGCAAGUUAGAGUGGCAAAAAAAAAAAAAAAAGAAAAAAAAGAGAAGAGAGUAUCGAAUGCGAACUUUUUGGGAACACUUGUAUUUGGUGACUUAUUUGCAUGACUGCAUAAUCUGAGUAGCUUUCAUCAUAGUUGCCAUAGGGUGUGCAUCAUGCUGAUGUUCUGUGUGGACUGG
RNAcentral lists this long non-coding RNA (724 nucleotides) under Physcomitrium patens. RNAcentral's name for it is "long non-coding RNA (PPAT_LNC004260)". The record is from RNAcentral. Lineage: Eukaryota; Viridiplantae; Streptophyta; Bryopsida; Funariales; Funariaceae.